RNAcentral lists this ribosomal RNA (433 nucleotides) under uncultured bacterium. RNAcentral describes it as "partial 16S ribosomal RNA". It matches the Rfam family "Bacterial small subunit ribosomal RNA", at positions 29 to 507 of the family's 1533-position model. The record is from RNAcentral.
AACGAACGCUGGCGGCAUGCCUAACACAUGCAAGUCGAACGAGACCUUCGGGUCUAGUGGCGCACGGGUGCGUAACGCGUGGGAACCUGCCCUUAGGUUCGGAAUAACUCCCCGAAAGGGGUGCUAAUACCGGAUAAUGUCUUCGGACCAAAGAUUUAUCGCGUUUGGAUGGGCCCGCGUUGGAUUAGCUAGUUGGUAGGGUAAAAGCCUACCAAGGCGACGAUCCAUAGCUGGUCUGAGAGGAUGAUCAGCCGCACUGGGACUGAGACACGGCCCAGACUCCUACGGGAGGCAGCAGUGGGGAAUAUUGGACAAUGGGCGAAAGCCUGAUCAAGCAAUGCCGCGUGAGUGAUGAAGGCCUUAGGGUUGUAAAGCUCUUUUACCCGGGAUGAUAAUGACAGUACCGGGAGAAUAAGCUCCGGCUAACUCCGUG